GCCGGGCGCGGUGGCGCGCGCCUGUAGUCCCAGCUACUCGGGAGGCUGAGGCAGGAGGAUCGCUUGAGUCCAGGAGUUCUGGGCUGUAGUGCGCUAUGCCGAUCGGGUGUCCGCACUAAGUUCGGCAUCAAUAUGGUGACCUCCCGGGAGCGGGGGACCACCAGGUUGCCUAAGGAGGGGUGAACCGGCCCAGGUCGGAAACGGAGCAGGUCAAAACUCCCGUGCUGAUCAGUAGUGGGAUCGCGCCUGUGAAUAGCCACUGCACUCCAGCCUGGGCAACAUAGCGAGACCCCGUCUCUU
This 300-nucleotide signal recognition particle RNA is filed under the name Balaenoptera musculus (blue whale). RNAcentral's name for it is "Metazoan signal recognition particle RNA (ENSBMSG00010003421.1)". It matches the Rfam family "Metazoan signal recognition particle RNA". Rfam says of the family: The signal recognition particle (SRP) is a universally conserved ribonucleoprotein. The record is from Rfam by way of RNAcentral. Lineage: Eukaryota; Metazoa; Chordata; Mammalia; Artiodactyla; Balaenopteridae.